Molecule: ribosomal RNA, 201 nt
Filed under: uncultured bacterium
Lineage: Bacteria
Description: partial 16S ribosomal RNA
Rfam family: Bacterial small subunit ribosomal RNA
Source: RNAcentral
GUAGUCUGCAACCCGACUACAUGAAGCUGGAAUCGCUAGUAAUCGCAGAUCAGAAUGCUGCGGUGAAUACGUUCCCGGGUCUUGUACACACCGCCCGUCACACCAUGGGAGUCGGAAAUGCCCGAAGCCAGUGACCCAACCUUAAGGAGGGAGCUGUCGAAGGUGGAGCCGGUAACUGGGGUGAAGUCGUAACAAGGUACC